Molecule: unclassified non-coding RNA, 394 nt
Filed under: Hevea brasiliensis (rubber tree)
Lineage: Eukaryota; Viridiplantae; Streptophyta; Magnoliopsida; Malpighiales; Euphorbiaceae
Source: RNAcentral
GUGAAAUUGAGCUACAAGCCAUGUAAAAAUAUCCUUUUUCACUAGUUAAUUAUAGCAGAGACAUGAAUAUAUUUGGAUUUGUGGGGCUGGGCGAGGCAAAACAAAUUUGUUAGACCUUCCAUUUAUUUUAUUAUAUUUUAUAAAGCCACAUUGUUGGCCAUUUGCAUUUGGAGUUCCAACAAGUAAAGGGAGCAGAAACAUACCAGGGGCAUCAAGAAACUUCCAACCCAAUAGCUAUGAUGGAAUACUUGUACCCCUGCAACCAAAAGAUCAUCAAAGAAAAAACUAAACAAUUAAAUAUAACUUCACGCAGCCUCAUUCAGAAAAUAUAAACUUGCCCAAUAUAUAUAUAUAUAUUUUUUGGGCAAUUAAACUGCUGCUGACUACUUUCAAA